RNAcentral lists this ribosomal RNA (253 nucleotides) under uncultured bacterium. RNAcentral describes it as "partial 16S ribosomal RNA". It matches the Rfam family "Bacterial small subunit ribosomal RNA", at positions 524 to 776 of the family's 1533-position model. The record is from RNAcentral.
UACAGGGGGUGCAAGCGUUAUUCGGAAUUACUGGGCGUAAAGAGCGUGUAGGCGGUUUGGUAAGUUUGGUGUGAAAGCCCUGGUCUCAAGCCAGGAAGUGCAUUGAAUACUGCCAGACUAGAGUGCAGGAGAGGUCAGCGGAAUUCCAGGUGUAGAGGUGAAAUUCGUAGAUAUCUGGAGGAACAACAGCGGCGAAGGCGGCUGGCUGGACUGUUACUGACGCUAAGGCGCGAAAGCGUGGGGAGCAAACAGG